RNAcentral lists this ribosomal RNA (485 nucleotides) under uncultured bacterium. RNAcentral's name for it is "bacterial SSU rRNA". It matches the Rfam family "Bacterial small subunit ribosomal RNA", at positions 28 to 533 of the family's 1533-position model. The record is from RNAcentral.
GAUGAACGUUGGCGGUGUGCCUAAUACAUGCAAGUCGAACGGAGACUGUAGCAAUACUGUCUUAGUGGCGAACGGGUGAGUAACGCGUUGGUGAUCUGCCUCGAAGUGUGGAAUAACCUCCCGAAAGGGAAGCUAAUACCGCAUAGUCUCUCAAGGUUUAGAAAAUUGAGAGUAAAGGAUUUAUUCGCUUCGAGAGGAGCCUGCGUCCCAUCAGCUAGUUGGUAGGGUAACGGCCUACCAAGGCAAUGACGGGUAGGGGACCUGAGAGGGUGGCCCCCCACAAUGGAACUGAAACACGGUCCAUACACCUACGGGUGGCAGCAGUAGGGAAUAUUAGAAAUGGGCGGAAGCCUGAUCUAGCAACACCGCGUGUGCGAUGAAGGCCUUGGUCGUAAAGCACUUUUUGGAGGGAAUAGGAAGGAAGGUACCUCCAGAAUAAGUCUCGGCUAACUACGUCGCCAGCUAGCCGCGUAAACACGAGAGUA